This 86-nucleotide transfer RNA is filed under the name Syntrophorhabdus sp. PtaU1.Bin002. RNAcentral describes it as "tRNA-Tyr". It matches the Rfam family "tRNA". Rfam says of the family: Transfer RNA (tRNA) molecules are approximately 80 nucleotides in length. Their secondary structure includes four short double-helical elements and three loops (D, anti-codon, and T loops). The record is from RNAcentral. Lineage: Bacteria; Pseudomonadati; Thermodesulfobacteriota; Syntrophorhabdia; Syntrophorhabdales; Syntrophorhabdaceae. RNAcentral also lists the same sequence under 3 other names.
GGAGAGGUUCCCGAGCGGCCAAAGGGGGCAGACUGUAAAUCUGUUGGCGCAGUCCUUCGGAGGUUCGAUCCCUCCCCUCUCCACCA